Molecule: transfer-messenger RNA, 354 nt
Filed under: bovine gut metagenome
Rfam family: transfer-messenger RNA
About the family: Bacterial tmRNA, also known as 10Sa RNA or SsrA, is named for its dual tRNA and mRNA-like properties. Its role is to liberate the mRNA from a stalled ribosome. To accomplish this part of the tmRNA is used as a reading frame that ends in a translation stop signal.
Source: RNAcentral
GGGGACGUACUGGUUUCGACAGGUGUGUGGAACGAGGAUAAGCGAGCCGUGGCGGUGAUCCACGUAAAAAGUACCCGUUCAAAAGAAACGCAAAAACAAACAACAAUUUCGCACUGGCUGCAUAGUUCAGCCCCGCGCGUCGGCUCGGAUUUACCUGUAGGUCCGGAUCCCGGCGUCAUGCAUACAGGAAAACUCUUGCGCGACCUCCCGUUAACGUAAGAGGACCAAACGGGAUAGCCUGCAGCGAGUCUGCCGUGUGACGCUCUGCAGGCGAAAACAAAUACCCGGCUGCGCUCGGAGAAAGUCGUCCGGAAAUGCUCUUGGACGUGGGUUCGACUCCCACCGUCUCCACCA